GCUUUUUUCUUUUUUUCCAGUAAUAACAUAUGACACUAGCAAAAGUAGUUCUUUAAUCUUUGCUUGCAUUUAUGUUUUUGGUUGCUAUUUCUUAUUGCGUUCCACAUUAAUCUUUUAUGAUUUAUAUUACUUGUUGCUCUCUGAUGAUCUCCACACAGUGAUCCUUGUGUGGAGCAUUGCCUUUAGAUUGUGGAUGUUAAUGUUCGAAAGAAUUAGAUAUCUAAUUGCCAACUUUUAAAACAGGAAAUUUUGGAGUAAUCUGCAUAUCUAAUUGUCCCAUUAAUUGCCUAUGUUUUUUCAUAUUACUAGAUAGUACAAAUGUAAUCCUAGGGUAGAAGUUGUUGGGUCAUGAAUGAGAUAUUGCAAAUAUUUUGCAAUCAAGGUCAAUAAUCAUUAAUAUGCAGUACUGAGUCUCUUAAACAGUGUGUUCUGGUGCUUUGAUAUUCAUACUGUUGAACUAUCUUUAAAGUCAAUGUGUGAGAAGUGAGUGGUCUAGUUGUACUUGUGAAUGGCAUCAAGGAUUUGGUCAUUGCAUCCAAAGAUCAAAGUUAGUGAACUAUCAAGGUUUACACCCUCACUACCCCUCUCGAACAAUCGAACCCUAAAUUGGGGCAGCUUUCACUCACGCCCUCGCCAAGUUGUCGGCUCGCCACUCACCGCCUCACGCCCUCACCCAUCUCAGUCCUCAGACUUGUUCCGAUUUUAGGUUCUUCACUUCUUUUAAGUUCCAACUCUUAAGGAUUGGCAGAUUGUUUAUCAAGUGGCAGAUUGGUAUGUUUAUUUAGUGGUGCGGCAGAUUGGUACAAUGUGGAACUGGGAAAGCAUGUUUAUUUUUUUUCCUAUGAACUAUGGUAGAUUGGCAAUUUGGCAAUUUGGCUAUGGCAGUAUGGGCAAUGGGCAUAUGGCUAUGACUUUUAUUUAGUACUUUAGUGUAUGUUUGUGAAGACGGAGUAAUUUAUUUCCUUACUCUUGAGGCAGUCUCUUCAUUUUAUCUCUAUUCAGGGUGCUCAAGGUUUGAGGACGCUGAGGCAGCUCAAAAGGCACGAGCUUCUGCUGUGCUUGCUGCAGAAGGUGGUCUGGUGGUGAAGAAUUUUAUUGCUACUUUAGAUCCUGUAACAGGUAUUUUUGUGAGUGUGUUGUUGUUAGAGAUAAGAGCUGUGAGGAAGAAACAACCAGAGAAUUGAAUUAAAAGAAACCAGGAAACAAGGAUAAAAUAUCCUCCAGCAAGAAAUAGUCUUGCCCAGCUGUAAGAAGCUCUUAUUUUAUGAUUACUACUGCCUGCCUAUUACUAAGGGGAACUCCUUUAUUUAUAAUCUCAUAUAUAUGUUAUAAAAGUAAACACCCUAAAAUUCUCUCCUGAUAAUCUGCUGCAAUCCCUGAAAUCUGCUACAAUCCCUUGACUCAUGCCUUGUUUGUAUUCUGGAAAUCUGCUACUUGAUUGGAUGACUGAUUCCCCUUUCCUUUUAUUUCUUGAUUUCUUUCCUUUCUUCUUGAGUAAACAAUCCAUUUGUU
This is an RNA transcript of Ipomoea nil (Japanese morning glory), 1512 nucleotides long. It is a transcript of the gene named la protein 1-like, with no coding region annotated. The record is from RefSeq and is a predicted model, not a curated record. The transcript is spliced from 3 exons. NCBI's taxonomy places the organism in Eukaryota, Viridiplantae, Streptophyta, Magnoliopsida, Solanales, Convolvulaceae.